This 484-nucleotide ribosomal RNA is filed under the name uncultured bacterium. RNAcentral describes it as "partial 16S ribosomal RNA". It matches the Rfam family "Bacterial small subunit ribosomal RNA", at positions 28 to 523 of the family's 1533-position model. The record is from RNAcentral.
GACGAACGCUGGCGGCGUGCUUAACACAUGCAAGUCGAACGAUGAACCCGGAGCUUGCUCCGGCGGAUUAGUGGCGAACGGGUAAGUAACACGUGAGUAACCUGCCCUUGACUCUGGGAUAACUGCGGGAAACUGUAGCUAAUACCGGAUACGACCCUCGGCGGCAUCGCCAGGGGGUGGAAAGAAUUUCGGUCAAGGAUGGACUCGCGGCCUAUCCGCUAGUUGGUGAGGUAACGGCUCACCAGGGCGACGACGGGUAGCCGGCCUGAGAGGGUGACAGGCCACACGGGGACUGAGACACGGCCCAGACUCCUACGGGAGGCAGCAGUGGGGAAUAUUGCACAAUGGGCGCAAGCCUGAUGCAGCAACGCCGCGUGAGGGAUGACGGCAUUCGGGUUGUAAACCUCUUUUAGUAGGGAAGAAGCGAAAGUGACGGUACCUGCAGAAAAAGCACCGGCUAACUACGUGCCAGCCGCCGCCGUAA